GAUUUUCGCAAUGCCCGAAAGGGUGACGAAGCGACGCCGCGUGCGGGAAGAAGGCCUUCGGGUUGUAAACCGCUGUCGGGAGUUAAGAAAUGUAAGGAUGUUAAUAGCACCUUUACUUGACUAAGGCUCCGGAGGAAGCCACGGCUAACUCUGUGCCAGCAGCCGCGGUAAUACAGAGGCGGCAAGCGUUGUUCGGAAUUAUUGGGCGUAAAGAGCACGUAGGCGGCUAUGUAAGUCGGUUGUGAAAGCCUUCCGCUCAACGGGAGAACAGCAUCCGAUACUGCAUGGCUUGAGUGCGGGAGGGGAGAGUGGAACUUCUGGUGGAGCGGUGAAACGCGUAGAUAUCAGAAGGAACGCCGGCGGCGAAAGCGGCUCUCUGGCCCAUAACUGACGCUGAGUGUGCGAAAGCUAGGGGAGCAAACGGGAUUAGAUACCCAGGUAGUCCUAGCCGUAAACGAUGGGCACUAAGUAGAGGGGUUUUAAUC
This 485-nucleotide ribosomal RNA is filed under the name uncultured bacterium. RNAcentral describes it as "bacterial SSU rRNA". It matches the Rfam family "Bacterial small subunit ribosomal RNA", at positions 359 to 836 of the family's 1533-position model. The record is from RNAcentral.